GACGAACGCUGGCGGCGUGCUUAACACAUGCAAGUCGAACGGAAAGGCCCUGCUUUUGUGGGGUGCUCGAGUGGCGAACGGGUGAGUAACACGUGAGUAACCUGCCCUUGACUUUGGGAUAACUUCAGGAAACUGGGGCUAAUACCGGAUAGGAGCUCCUGCUGCAUGGUGGGGGUUGGAAAGUUUCGGCGGUUGGGGAUGGACUCGCGGCUUAUCAGCUUGUUGGUGGGGUAGUGGCUUACCAAGGCUUUGACGGGUAGCCGGCCUGAGAGGGUGACCGGCCACAUUGGGACGGAGAUACGGCCCAGACUCCUACGGGAGGCAGCAGUGGGGAAUAUUGCACAAUGGGCGGAAGCAUGAUGCAGCAACGCCGCGUGCGGGAUGACGGCCUUCGGGUUGUAAACCGCUUUCGCCUGUGACGAAGCGUGAGUGACGGUAAUGGGUAAAGAAGCACCGGCUAACUACGUG
Molecule: ribosomal RNA, 468 nt
Filed under: uncultured bacterium
Lineage: Bacteria
Description: partial 16S ribosomal RNA
Rfam family: Bacterial small subunit ribosomal RNA
Source: RNAcentral